This 1769-nucleotide ribosomal RNA is filed under the name Triticum aestivum (bread wheat). RNAcentral describes it as "partial small subunit ribosomal RNA". Lineage: Eukaryota; Viridiplantae; Streptophyta; Magnoliopsida; Poales; Poaceae. The record is from RNAcentral.
AUCUCUGCGGGUCUCCUCCCCGCUGUUGCCAGACGGUCGAAGGCGACCGGCGACCUCCCGGAUCUCUCCCUCUCUGUUGCUGGGGCGUCUGGCUGAAGGCAACGACGGGUCAGGGGAGCUCCGGAGCAGCCGCCUCAGAUCCGGCAGACAUUUGCCUGAACCCAGCCGAAUCAUUCGUCAGCUUUUCAAUUCGAUUCGAUCCUGACGGUCCUGCUCGCCUUAUUCGGCGGCAGCUGCGCCUUCCUCUCACCCCGUCGGCGGCUUCUCCCCUGUUCAGGUGGAGAUCCGGGCGGUUGCUUCCCGGGUUCCUGCGGAGGCGCAGGCGCCGCGCCUGCGCGCGCAGAGGCCCGGGAUCGGCGGCGAGAUGAAGGGCGCGUCCGUCCCUGCGGUUGUGGGCAUGCCUUCGCCGCUUUUUCUUUGGCGGUUUAAGGCUAUAUUGUUUCUCGUGUGGGGUUUAUGCUGUUGCAAGAUAGGGUGGGACUCUGUUAUGAGGAUGAGUGCUGAUCUGCGAGAUUUAUUUCUGUAUGAGGUUUUCUUGUACUAUAAUCCUCUCUUCCUUGUGGCACUUAUGAUUUGGUUAUGGGGAGUGAAUUUGUGGGUCUUUGCACAAUCAUCAGUGAAUUAUGUAAAAGUGUUUGAUCUCGCGCAAACACAUUUAUCACACCGAGAAAUUUGGAGGUGUGCUACUUGGCUUACUUUAAUUGUUCCCACAAGUAUGACAGCUUACCUAUACCUGUACUCACAUGGGGAAGUGUCACUUGCUGCUUCUCAACCAGUUCUAUUGUAUGCUAUCCUUUUGAUAGUCCUCCUUUCUCCGUUUGAUAUGUUCUAUUUAUCAUCACGCUUUUACUUCCUGAGGACCAUGUUACGUAUAAUACUUCCAUUGCAAGCAAUUACAUUCCCCGACUUCUUUUUGGCUGAUAUUUUUACAUCCAUGUCAAAGGUGUUCUCAGAUUUGGAACGUUCAGUUUGCCGCAUGGUCAAUCGUCAGGUGGCGACAAUUGCUUGGUUUGAAGCUGAUUCAAUUUGUGGUAGCCACUCUAUAGCUAUUCCUCUAGUUCUUGUGCUCCCUUAUUUGUGCCGUUUCUUCCAAUGCCUUCGACAGUACAAGGAUACAAAGGAGAAAAGUUGUCUUCUGAACGCACUGAAGUACUCGACAGCAUUCCCGGUGAUUUUUUUAUCGGCGCUCAAGUAUCAUGUAUUCCCUGACCAGUGGGUUAGCUUUUACCGGCCCCUCUGGCUUAUUUCGGGAGUUAUAAAUUCGCUGUAUUCCUUCUACUGGGAUAUAAAGCGCGAUUGGGAUUUGAGUAUUUUAACCAGGAUUUUCAUGUUCAAAAGCCCAAGCACAUGGACAAGUCUUCUUUAUGGGCGGAACUGGGUGUAUUACUGGGUGUUAGGCAGCAAUCUCAUCCUCCGCUGCACAUGGACAUACAAGCUGUCGGCGCAUCUUCGGCACAACUACCUCACAGUGUUUGCGAUAACAGCUUUGGAAAUGCUGAGGCGGUUUCAGUGGGUUUUCUUCCGCGUUGAGAAUGAGUGGAACAAGAUGACGGCCAAGCAAAAUUUUGAAAUGUCAUCCGAUAUGCCUUCAGAAUCAGACAGGCUACUGGAGUCUAAUAGCCACACAGGCUCAGAAGGUCAGGGAUACACAACAGUAGGUUUGUAGAAAAAGCUGAAAUCGUUGGCGUGGAGCAUGUAAUCCUCUUGAGGUGUUUGUUGACACAUGAAACAAUAAAUAGUAAUGCUGAAAUUUUUGAGAUUUUGCAUCA